GUCUGGGUAGCUUAGUGGUUAAAGCAUCACCCUCCUAUCCCAUACUGUUGGUUAACCACUGCACAGUUUGGUAUAGAGCAGAAUGGGGUCCACCCAAGUUCAAAUCUUGGCCCAGACA
Molecule: transfer RNA, 118 nt
Filed under: Moniliophthora perniciosa FA553
Lineage: Eukaryota; Fungi; Basidiomycota; Agaricomycetes; Agaricales; Marasmiaceae
Rfam family: tRNA
About the family: Transfer RNA (tRNA) molecules are approximately 80 nucleotides in length. Their secondary structure includes four short double-helical elements and three loops (D, anti-codon, and T loops).
Source: Rfam by way of RNAcentral